Molecule: ribosomal RNA, 914 nt
Filed under: uncultured beta proteobacterium
Lineage: Bacteria; Pseudomonadati; Pseudomonadota; Betaproteobacteria
Description: bacterial SSU rRNA
Rfam family: Bacterial small subunit ribosomal RNA
Source: RNAcentral
CAAGUCGAGCGGCAGCGCGGGGCAACCUGGCGGCGAGCGGCGAACGGGUGAGUAAUGCAUCGGAACGUGUCCAUGUCGUGGGGGAUAGCCCGGCGAAAGCCGGAUUAAUACCGCAUACGCCCGAGAGGGGAAAGUGGGGGACCGCAAGGCCUCACGCGAUUGGUUCGGCCGAUGUCCGAUUAGCUAGUUGGCGGGGUAAAGGCCCACCAAGGCGAUGAUCGGUAGCUGGUCUGAGAGGAUGAUCAGCCACACUGGGACUGAGACACGGCCCAGACUCCUACGGGAGGCAGCAGUGGGGAAUUUUGGACAAUGGGGGCAACCCUGAUCCAGCCAUUCCGCGUGAGUGAAGAAGGCCUUCGGGUUGUAAAGCUCUUUUGUCCGGAACGAAACGGGCGACGUGAAUAUCGUCGUCUACUGACGGUACCGGAAGAAUAAGCACCGGCUAACUACGUGCCAGCAGCCGCGGUAAUACGUAGGGUGCGAGCGUUAAUCGGAAUUACUGGGCGUAAAGCGUGCGCAGGCGGUUUUGUAAGCCAGAUGUGAAAUCCCCGGGCUUAACCUGGGAAUGGCAUUUGGGACUGCAAGGCUGGAGUGCGGCAGAGGAGACUGGAAUUCCUGGUGUAGCAGUGAAAUGCGUAGAUAUCAGGAGGAACACCGAUGGCGAAGGCAGGUCUCUGGGCUGACACUGACGCUCAUGCACGAAAGCGUGGGGAGCAAACAGGAUUAGAUACCCUGGUAGUCCACGCCCUAAACGAUGUCGACUGGUUGUUGGGGGUUUGACACUCUCAGUAACGAAGCUAACGCGUGAAGUCGACCGCCUGGGGAGUACGGCCGCAAGGUUAAAACUCAAAGGAAUUGACGGGGACCCGCACAAGCGGUGGAUUAUGUGGAUUAAUUCGAUGCAACGCGAAAAA